GAUGAAGCUCAUUUCUCUUCAGUAAUUGGGAGAGAUUUGGAUAUGAAUCUGACUCUACCCACAGGGUACACUGAAGGCACAAAAGGAAGAGAGAUCCUCUGUACCCAUAAACCCCUUUUAAUGCUCUACUUUUGCCAUCUUGAUAUUCUGCAGAGCUUUUGAAAAGGGAUCCCUGAAAAUAAUGCAUCAGGUUCUUGUCCUCUAAAUAAGUGAGACAUACAGAAAGAAUAGACACAGCUGGGACGUGGAAUGAGUUUGCUACCUUGGGUCUGACCCCAAAUCUCAUGACUUUGAGAUCUAUAGGACUGGAUUCUAAAAAGUUGGGUUUAAGAAUUCAGCCAUCAACCUUUCUAGGACCCAAGAAGUCUCAAAAUAGUGGGGAGAUAGUCUCAGGGACCCAUAUUCUAUUCUGGGUGUAUAGGUUUUUCAUUUAUGCUGCCAACCCGUAGCGGGAGGUCUGCUGUAGAAAUAAACUCAUUCAACUUUAGGAGAACAUGAUUCGGUGUAACUAAGGCUAACAGCCCUGUUGGAAAGACAGACAGAAUCUCUGUCCUUUGUUUUAGUUUCACUGUACAAAAAGCACAAGGCAAAGAGGUGGAGUGGUAGUUAAGUGGAUAGGACCUAGAGUCAAAGACAGAGUCCAAAGGCUAGCUCUGCUGUUUACUCUACCAGUAGUGUCACGAGUCCUUCAAACUCUUUAGUGUUUUUUCUUAAAACCUAUAAAAUAAGAUUAUGCAAACACAAACAAUUCCCAAGAUUGUGGUAGGAUCAGAUGAACGGAUGUACAUGACAGCGUUUAAAGAGCUCUAGAAACUUGGGUAAUGUUUGUCACUAUUAUGGUUGGCAGGUGCAGGUGCAAAGAUGUGGUCUUUCCAGAAAGGACACCUGGGUCAUGCAGAGACUUCAGCUCAGAGAAGCCACUUCAGGAUUCUUUUGUUUGCAAAAUCAGUUGGGAAGUGUGGAAGGAAGUGUAGAAAAGGAAGAGGCAAGAGAAGCAUUGAAGAGGAGGAAACUGAGGCUGAGACAUGGCAUCACAUGGCUUCUCUGACCAACUGAAUUGUGUCAAGUUAGGUGCUAUGGAUGUUUAUGACCUGAAGACUUCUCCCCUGAAGAGACUGAUCCUACCAAGAUUAGCCAAAUCUCCUUGUCUAGCUGUGUAUAAUUCUCCCUACAUGUGUGUGUCUCUCUGUGUGUGUGUGUGUGUGUGUGUGUGUG
Molecule: non-coding RNA, 1215 nt
Organism: Cricetulus griseus (Chinese hamster)
Lineage: Eukaryota; Metazoa; Chordata; Mammalia; Rodentia; Cricetidae
Source: RefSeq, a predicted model, not a curated record